This is a long non-coding RNA of Gallus gallus (chicken), 573 nucleotides long. Lineage: Eukaryota; Metazoa; Chordata; Aves; Galliformes; Phasianidae. The record is from Ensembl.
CAACUGUUAAGUCCCAGCCUGAACCACUGAUUCAGCACCUGGGGAAAGGACCCGGUCAGCCCUGGGAGCACAGGUGAAGGCAAUUCGGCUGUGUGACCAGAAGGGGUGGAGCCUGGCUGCACCUCUCUUAGACCUCAUUUAAGUGCUGACUGCCCCUGGGGAAGGGUCUCUUUCUGGAGAUCCCUCCUUGGUGGAUUUUUCCCCUCUGAACCUGGAAUCUUCUGGUAUGGGUCUCUGAUGCAGCUUAAACCCAGCUCUUUUGCCCAUGCAGGAGCUUGUGCUGCGUGGAUUUGGCUAGUCACUGGUCCAAACUGCUGGAAAUCAUCCUGCCCAUGACAGAGGUCUUCUGUGCUGUCUGCCAGGCUAACAGGAAGCACAAGUGUGGAAGAGCCCCAGAGCUGCAUGGUGCCUCCUGCCCGGCCCAUGGGAUGGUUGUCAAAUGCUGCACUUAACAUCUGCAGUUGUCUCUCAGCAAAUGGAGCAGUGUUUCUCUUCAGACCCCGUGAUGACUGCUCAGGCUUUGCUCAAUCUGUACUUUAUGUGGAGAGGCGCAUUUUCAGAAAUGAACUUUCC